CCUACGGGAGGCAGCAGUGGGGAAUAUUGGGCAAUGGAGGAAACUCUGACCCAGCAACGCCGCGUGAAGGAUGAAGGUUUUCGGAUUGUAAACUUCUGUCGCGAGGGAUGAAGAAUGACGGUACCUCGUAAGAAAGCCCCGGCAAACUACGUGCCAGCAGCCGCGGUAAUACGUAGGGGGCGAGCGUUAUCCGGAUUUAUUGGGUUUAAAGGGUGCGUAGGCGGAAGGUUAAGUCAGCGGUCAAAUGUCGGUGCUCAACACCGGCCUGCCGUUGAAACUGGUCUUCUUGAGUGAGCGAGAAGUAUGCGGAAUGCGUGGUGUAGCGGUGAAAUGCAUAGAUAUCACGCAGAACUCCGAUUGCGAAGGCAGCAUACCGGCGCUCAACUGACGCUGAGGCACGAAAGCGUGGGGAUCGAACAGGAUUAGAUACCCGAGUAGUC
RNAcentral lists this ribosomal RNA (440 nucleotides) under uncultured bacterium. RNAcentral's name for it is "partial 16S ribosomal RNA". It matches the Rfam family "Bacterial small subunit ribosomal RNA", at positions 338 to 795 of the family's 1533-position model. The record is from RNAcentral.